CACCACCUGAGCCUGGUUUUGGUAUUGACUGGUUGUGUGUGUGUGUGGUGGGCGUCUCUUUAUCUCUCUCUCUCUCUCUCUCUCUCUCUCAAGACGAGAAAGAGAGUUUUGUACAUUCAUAGUUCCUUGAAACUUCUGUAAUACUCCUCCCGAGAAGUGAAAGAGAGAGAGAAAGAGAAGGAGAAACCUUAGUAGUGCAUCUCUUUUUCUCUUUCACUGCCUCUCAUUAGAUUUUUGGAGAUCUGAAGUCGUUUUCUGUCUCUGAUUCUCAUGACGAAAACGACACAUCUUCUCUCCCCCACUGCUUAAUCAAAAGGGAACUUGAACUUAUCUUCCGUGAUUUCUGCAAGUUUCUUCUUUUAAUUCCUUUAUUUUCUUUAUCUAUCUCAUUCUUCUUAGAAAGAGCUCUCCAUCUUCUCUGUAUCCUUCUCACUAUGCCACUUUAGGUAAGCGAGAGGAAAGGAAAGGUAGGGCUUUGUGAUUUGUGAGUGCUCUGGAAGGUCAACGGCAUAGCAUCAUCAUCAUCAUCAUCAAUGGAGAAUUAGGGUUUGCUUUCCUUAAUAGUAUCAGACAUACUAUGGUUUAGAAAAUCCACUGCCUGGGGAAUAUAGCUAAUGGUGGGUUAGCACUGAUGCACUACUGCUCUCCAGAAAAUGUGACACUGUUCAUCAAGAAAAUGCUGCCAAGCUUUUGCUGUUUACUGUUUCAACAAGUGGGGUUUUGUCUUUUUGAGGAUCAUGGCCUUAUGGCUUUACUGUUUUGAACAUAUUAAUGUAAAAAAUAAAGGAAACAACUAGUGCUCCUGGGGAGAUUUGAAGACCUUGUGGAACAUCUACUCUGUGUUUCUCAAAGGAAGGGUGUAAGCUGAAGAUUUGAUCUGAAGGUGGUGGUGAGAUAGAGAACUCACUUCUCUUGAGCUUCUUAUUUAUUUAUUAUUAUAUUUCUGUCUCAACUGCUGGUGGUGGUGUUUCUCUUUAAAGGUCAUGGAUUUGCUGUUUUGUACUUUAUUAAUGUAAAAAAAAGGGUAUUUGAUGGGUGUUGCCUUUUCUUUUGGAACUAUACCAACUCUGUGUUUCUCUAUUGAAGGGUAAUCUGAAGAUGUGAUGUGAAAGUGGAGAACUCCUCACUUGAGAACUCA
This is a long non-coding RNA of Macadamia integrifolia, 1138 nucleotides long. RefSeq lists it as uncharacterized. The record is from RefSeq and is a predicted model, not a curated record. Lineage: Eukaryota; Viridiplantae; Streptophyta; Magnoliopsida; Proteales; Proteaceae. The transcript has 2 exons.